Molecule: ribosomal RNA, 301 nt
Filed under: uncultured bacterium
Lineage: Bacteria
Description: partial 16S ribosomal RNA
Rfam family: Bacterial small subunit ribosomal RNA
Source: RNAcentral
CAGUCGCCGCGGGAAUACAGAGGGUGCGAGCGUUAAUCGGAUUUACUGGGCGUAAAGCGUGCGUAGGCGGCUUUUUAAGUCGGAUGUGAAAUCCCUGAGCUUAACUUAGGAAUUGCAUUCGAUACUGGGAAGCUAGAGUAUGGGAGAGGAUGGUAGAAUUCCAGGUGUAGCGGUGAAAUGCGUAGAGAUCUGGAGGAAUACCGAUGUCGAAGGCAGCCAUCUGGCCUAAUACUGACGCUGAGGUACGAAAGCAUGGGGAGCAAACAGGAUUAGAUACCCCCGUAGUCCCUGUCUCUUAUAC